RNAcentral lists this ribosomal RNA (468 nucleotides) under uncultured bacterium. RNAcentral describes it as "partial 16S ribosomal RNA". It matches the Rfam family "Bacterial small subunit ribosomal RNA", at positions 28 to 507 of the family's 1533-position model. The record is from RNAcentral.
GACGAACGCUGGCGGCGUGCUUAACACAUGCGAGUCGAACGGAAAGGCCCUGCUUUUGUGGGGUGCUCGAGUGGCGAACGGGUGAGUAACACGUGAGUAACCUGCCCUUGACUUUGGGAUAACUUCAGGAAACUGGGGCUAAUACCGGAUAGGAGCUCCUGCUGCAUGGUGGGGGUUGGAAAGUUUCGGCGGUUGGGGAUGGACUCGCGGCUUAUCAGCUUGUUGGCGGGGUAGUGGCUUACCAAGGCUUUGACGGGUAGCCGGCCUGAGAGGGUGACCGGCCACAUUGGGACUGAGAUACGGCCCAGACUCCUACGGGAGGCAGCAGUGGGGAAUAUUGCACAAUGGGCGGAAGCCUGAUGCAGCAACGCCGCGUGCGGGAUGACGGCCUUCGGGUUGUAAACCGCUUUCGCCUGUGACGAAGCGUGAGUGACGGUAAUGGGUAAAGAAGCACCGGCUAACUACGUG